Molecule: RNA transcript, 2131 nt
Organism: Cebus imitator (Panamanian white-faced capuchin)
Lineage: Eukaryota; Metazoa; Chordata; Mammalia; Primates; Cebidae
Exons: 7
Source: RefSeq, a predicted model, not a curated record
AGUCGCUACCCUGGACGCCACGGCCUGUGACUGUGCUGGGGACCUCAGAAUUAGGUUCCAGGUGCUCCGUGGGCAUUGCUCUGUGCCUUUUCUUCCACGGAUCCCAAAGGGACAGAACCUUGAGGGCCGACAUGCUGAUGGACACUGGUGCCACCUUCCAGUGACACUAAAAUAUGGGAUCACAAUGGUCAGAGAGCUCUUGGACACUUACCUAAGCGUCUCUUGAAAAAUGCAUAGGAUUACGAUUGAGAAAAAACAGCAACAACCCACUAGCCCUCAAAAUAUCAUGAGGCAGAGACAUUUCUCUUGUGGGUUUGGAAGCUGUCUACCUCGUUGCCAUGGUUACACAAAAGCUGGUUUAAAAUGGCUCCUAUGUUGGCAUCUGGGCUGGGGCCUAACCAUCCGUCUCCACCAUUUUCUCUACUGCCUACCUUUUCCUCUCCUCCAAGAAGACCGUAAGCACCCGGAAUGGCUUCUGGGUGUAGUCACUGUGCCAAGCUUAAGGCUGGGCCAGUCCCACGAACUGCUCCUGCCUCCACCGGCCCACUCUACCGAGUCUGGACUUGCCACAUAUAUGCUGCUGCCUGGGCUCCCUUCAGCUUCUCGCCGGCAUCUCACUGGCUGUCAUUGCCUUUCCUUGCUUGGAGAGUUCUGCCAAGGAUUUAUCUUCAGAAGACAAGCAGAUGAAGAGACAAAACCUACUGGUGUGGGGACCCAAGCAGGAACCCCCUUCUUGCACCGGCGACUCAAGUGGGAAGAAGGUAGUGGCUGGCAUUAUGGAUUAGUUACUUAAUACAGUUUUAUUGCUUUGGAAUUCUGAGUUAAAAUGAAUUGAGGGUGGAAAGAGAAAGUUGGAGUGAGAGCUAAGAUGCUCUCAGAAUAUUCUAAAAAUGACCGUGCUGCAAAGAAGCCUGAGCGAGUGGAAGAAAAUAAAAGGAAUGGUGGAUACGAGUAAAGGAUAAAAUGAGGUAACAGAUUUAUCUUGAAGGUAUUUAUAGUGAUUCCUGCUUAAUGUCCAGCUAAGAAAUUCUUUAAACUCUAAACAGAAAACAAAGUAUUUCAUUUUACAGGUAGAGAUAAAAGAUAUGACAGAGCGCAUGGUGUAAGUACCGAAUAGCUAGGGGAACAGCUACCCCCGAGGUCCUCUGCUUUUGCCUGCUCUCCCGGGAAGUCCCUUCUUCCCUGCUUCCCUUCUGAAUUGACCUCUUCUUCACCUGGAUGUUAACACUAUUUGUCUCCUUUCCCCAGACAAGACCAUGACAGUCCUGAGGCCAAGAAAUGCUACCCUACUCAGCUUUCUCGCAGGUUUCUCAUACUUCAUGGAGAAAUAGAAAGCACCAGAUGACAGCUACCAUGCAUUUUUGUCCCCAUUGCUAUAGGAUGCUUCUAACAAUCAUAAAAUUAUGAAACACCGAACUCCUUAAGAGUUGUCCAUUUGUGGAUUUAUCUGACGGUAACUAUUAAAUAUUUAAAAGUACCUUUAAUGUAUCUACUUGUGAUGAUUGUCUGAAUAAUCUAUUCUCUGAAUUCCAUCAUAAAACCAUUUGAUGAUCAAAGUCAUGGAUGAACAUAUUACUAUAAUCCUAAGCGGAUAAGAUAGAGAUCUGUUUAUAAUAUACACAACAUAUUUUUUUAUUCCUAAACUAAUAAGAUGAUUAUCAAGCUGUAAGAGACUGUGAAAAUCAAUACUGUAUACUUGGCUAUACUUGGUGAGAAUUUUGGAAACAUAUUUGUUCUUUUAUUUGUGUUCUGGAAGAUACUUAGACUACUUUUAAGGACAAGUCUAGGCCUCCUUAUCCUUCACAGCAAAUAGCAAACAUAGUUAUUACUGGGGGUGAAGAGACACUGGUCAAGGGGUACAAAAGUACAGUCAGAUAAAAGAAUGUGUUCUAGUGUUUGAUAGUACACCAGGGCAAUUAUAGUUAACAAACAUUUAUCGUACACUUCAAAGUAGCUAGAAGAAAAGAACUGUCAUGUCCCCAACACAAAGAAAAGAUAAAUGUUUGGGGUGAUAAUAUACCAACUGCUCUGAUUUGAUCAUUACACAUUGUGUGCAGGUAUCAGAAUAUCACAUAUCCCCCCACAAUAUGUACAACUGUUGUAUGUUAAUAAAAAUAAAUAAAAAUAAAAA